CGUGGCAACCGGCCGUCCUGGCUUCAGGCCCGAGAGGCUCCGCGCAAAGCAGCAAGAUGGCCCUGAGCUCCUGGUCCCCAGAGCUGGGGUUCAGCGAGAAGACGCUGCGGGCGGCGGCCGUCUCCACCGGCCCGUCCCUGGAGUUAUGCACCUUCCCCUCCACCCUGGGCUCCUCGGUCGCGACCGCGGCGCUGGAGCAGCUCUUUGUUGUGGAACAAUCACUGCAAAGUGACUAUUUUAAAUGCAACGAAGAAGCUAGGACCUUUCUUAAGGACAUUGCUAUUGCCGUUAAGAAAUUGGAAGAAAUGAGAAAAGCCACAAUCGAUCUCCUGGAAAUUGAAAGCAUGGAACUCAGCAGACUAUACUUUUUACUGGAAACUCUUCCUACUAGCAUUGGCCGAGAAUUGGAAGAAUGUGUCAGAGAUGCACGCAGAUUAAAUCUUUUUGAGAUAAAUCAAAUAAAGACGGACAUUAAAAGGAUGGGUGAUGACAUACAGUCUCUGAAGAUGAGAAUACUUGAUCUGAAAAGAAUUAAUGAUGCUUUAGGUAAAGAGCAAGUGUUGCUGGCGAAGAAGCAUGAAGAGUUAGUGUUGACACUCAACCACACGAUGGAAGGAAAAGCCUCUACGACUGUUUACAUCAAUGAGACCUACACCCAAAUACACUUGAAGAGAAAAGAAAUUGAAUUGCAAAAACAACAUCUCAAACAAAUAGAGGAACAAUUGGAAAAAGAGAAGGAGGAAUUUUUGAAAAGAAAACAAAAAUUGAAUGAAGAGAUUGAGAGAUACAGAAAAUCCUGUGAAUUUAAGAGAGUGGAGACUUAUAAAAAGAAGAAAGAAUUGGAUACAUUAAAACUUCAAGAGUCAAAAAUGAAAGAAAGAGUUGCAACCAGCACAGUGGUUCUUAGUGAUCACAAUUUAGAGAUAGCACAACUACAAGAAUCAGUAAGACAUUGGGAACAAGAGCUCGAGGAAAUGAAGAAAUCCUGUAAGAUACUGGAGGAUAAAAUACAAUUUUUUGUGAAUACAAAAGAAAAACUGGAAGAUUCAUCUGGUUUUGAAAAAGAGGAAUUCUUGCAGAAGAUAAAGCACAUCGCUGAGCAACUACACAAAAAUCGUUUACAGAACAAGGAUCUACGGGAGAAAUUUCAGACUCUUAUCAGACAAUAUAAGAUUAUCUUAAACGAGGAGGAUAAACUUUUUAUGCAGAAACAGAAAAUUUACGAAGAGAAUCAGAAACAAUUGGCGUUCAUUUCUCAGAAAGAAAACUUCCUAUCACAAAGAAAAGUAGACAUCAAAAAUAUGGAAGAAGGACUUGUCACACUCCAUGAUCUUCAUCGAGCAACAAAGUCAGUUUAUCGGAAACAAAUAGAAAUCCUGAGUGAUAACCUGGAAAGAGAAAAUCAGAGAUGUGUUAUAACUCAGUGGAGAGUAGCUUGUUUGAGAAAAAAACACGCCCGUUGGGGAAAGAAGAUAAAAAUUGAAAUAGGAGAAAUUUUAGAUAAAACUCAGAGUUUGGAGCUCAGACGCGCUGAAUUAUUGCAAGAGACCACUGUACGAGAAAAAGAGAUCACUGAAUUUUUGGCAGAGAUUGAAAAAGUUACAUUAGAAUUAAAACAAGCGGAGGAGAAAUUUAUUGUCAAAGAAAAAAAGUUAGUUCAAGAGUUGAGCAAGUAUGAGAAAAAAUUUGUUAAGGCAACGCAAAGUAAUAAAGAAAAGGCAGAGGAACUAGUCGAGUGUCUUCCACAACUUCAAGUGGCAGAGGAAGAGUACAAAAGCAGACGUGGAAAAUUUGAAGAGCUCAGUAAUAUUAUUACAGCACAAAAGCAGGAGCAGAAUUUACUAAAUGAUUACAUUUCUCAAAUGACAAAAGAUUUUUCAAGAUAUUUUAACAACACGGAAAAAGUGAAGCAAGAACUCAAAUACUUACGAGAUCAAGAAAGCCAUAAGAUUAAAAAUCAUUUUGAGACUCUAAAGAACUUAGAAAAUGAAAUCUAUGUGCAUGACUUAAAAGUAGAUGCUUUGCUCCUGGAAAAUGAAAAAUUGAGAAAAUAUAUUGCAUAUAUGAAGAACAAGAUAGAACAGUACAGAAAAGGAGAAGACGACCUCAAGUCCACGUCAAGUGAACUGUCUUGUCAACUGACAGCUCAUCAGACGGAGUAUUUGGAUUUGUGGGAUGACUUUCAUACUACAGUUAAGGAAUUGGUAAACAGUGGUGAUGAGAUUUUGCAAGAAAUAAAAAACCUAACAACAAAGCUGAAGGAAAGAGAUGAAAACAUUGAACAUAUCAGCAUUUGGCUACAAGGGAAUCUUGACGAGUUGCGUGAUCUUAUGGAACAGGAAUUGGAAACAGACCUCCAUAAAAAGAAGAAACAAAUCCGUAUCAAAAAAGUCCAUCCCCCGGUGGUUGAAUGUACUAUGAAAAACAUUAACAAAGAAAAGCUAACAAAAUAACUUGAAGGCUACAACUGCUGUGAAUUUAAAAGGCACAAACAAAACUAUAAAACAAAAACAAUCAUCAGAAGAUGUCUUCAACCAAACUACCCAUAAAAAGAAAACUUGUUAUAUAAAUUAUCCUCUAUUUUUAUAAUCAAAAUACUGUAGUGGUAAAAAUAA
Lutra lutra (Eurasian river otter) is the source of this 2615-nucleotide RNA transcript. It is a transcript of the gene named coiled-coil domain containing 175, with no coding region annotated. The transcript is spliced from 21 exons. NCBI's taxonomy places the organism in Eukaryota, Metazoa, Chordata, Mammalia, Carnivora, Mustelidae. The record is from RefSeq and is a predicted model, not a curated record.